This 400-nucleotide ribosomal RNA is filed under the name Microbacterium sp. 25B(2010). Its description in RNAcentral is "bacterial SSU rRNA". It matches the Rfam family "Bacterial small subunit ribosomal RNA", at positions 272 to 684 of the family's 1533-position model. The record is from RNAcentral. Lineage: Bacteria; Bacillati; Actinomycetota; Actinomycetes; Micrococcales; Microbacteriaceae.
GGCGUCGACGGGUAGCCGGCCUGAGAGGGUGACCGGCCACACUGGGACUGAGACACGGCCCAGACUCCUACGGGAGGCAGCAGUGGGGAAUAUUGCACAAUGGGCGGAAGCCUGAUGCAGCAACGCCGCGUGAGGGAUGACGGCCUUCGGGUUGUAAACCUCUUUUAGCAGGGAAGAAGCGAAAGUGACGGUACCUGCAGAAAAAGCGCCGGCUAACUACGUGCCAGCAGCCGCGGUAAUACGUAGGGCGCAAGCGUUAUCCGGAAUUAUUGGGCGUAAAGAGCUCGUAGGCGGUUUGUCGCGUCUGCUGUGAAAUCCCGAGGCUCAACCUCGGGCCUGCAGUGGGUACGGGCAGACUAGAGUGCGGUAGGGGAGAUUGGAAUUCCUGGUGUAGCGGUGG